GACGAACCGUGCGAACGUUAUUCGGAAUCACUGGGCUUAAAGCGCGUGUAGGCGGAUGGGCACGUCCGUCGCUGAAAUCCCCCGGCUCAACCGGGGAACGGGCGCGGAUACGACUCUCCUUGAGGAACGUAGGGGGACCUGGAACUUCCGGUGGAGCGGUGAAAUGCGUUGAGAUCGGAAGGAACGCCCGUGGCGAAAGCGAGGUCCUGGACGUUGACUGACGCUGAGACGCGAAAGCCAGGGGA
Molecule: ribosomal RNA, 245 nt
Filed under: uncultured Singulisphaera sp.
Lineage: Bacteria; Pseudomonadati; Planctomycetota; Planctomycetia; Isosphaerales; Isosphaeraceae
Description: partial 16S ribosomal RNA
Rfam family: Bacterial small subunit ribosomal RNA
Source: RNAcentral